CAUGCAAGUCGAACGGUAACAGGUCUUCGGAUGCUGACGAGUGGCGAACGGGUGAGUAAUACAUCGGAACGUGCCCGAUCGUGGGGGAUAACAAGGCGAAAGCUUUGCUAAUACCGCAUACGAUCUACGGAUGAAAGCGGGGGAUCUUCGGACCUCGCGCGGACGGAGCGGCCGAUGGCAGAUUAGGUAGUUGGUGGGAUAAAAGCUUACCAAGCCGACGAUCUGUAGCUGGUCUGAGAGGAUGAUCAGCCACACUGGGACUGAGACACGGCCCAGACUCCUACGGGAGGUAGCAGUGGGGAAUUUUGGACAAUGGGCGAAAGCCUGAUCCAGCCAUGCCGCGUGCAGGAUGAAGGCCUUCGGGUUGUAAACUGCUUUUGUACGGAACGAAAAGCCUCUUUCUAAUAAAGAGGGGUCAUGACGGUACCGUAAGAAUAAGCACCGGCUAACUACGUGCCAGCAGCCGCGGUAAUACGUAGGGNGCAAGCGUUAA
This 493-nucleotide ribosomal RNA is filed under the name uncultured bacterium. RNAcentral's name for it is "bacterial SSU rRNA". It matches the Rfam family "Bacterial small subunit ribosomal RNA", at positions 54 to 543 of the family's 1533-position model. The record is from RNAcentral.